Molecule: long non-coding RNA, 287 nt
Organism: Gasterosteus aculeatus aculeatus (three-spined stickleback)
Lineage: Eukaryota; Metazoa; Chordata; Actinopteri; Perciformes; Gasterosteidae
Source: Ensembl
UAAUGUGACUCCAGCCGCACAAAGAGUCCCGGCGGCACCCGCAGGAGCCUCAGGAGUCCUGACUGAUGUUUGCGCUCCUCAGAAUAACAGCCAGUGAAAGCCAUUACGGACUAAAGCAGCAGAUCCCAUCACGACCAAACUGUACCAGACCUGGAACGCCACCCCACUCCUUUCCUGUAACCGCCGGCUCGCCACGGGGAAACAACCCCCCCCCCCCGACGCAAAUGUAUCCUGAUGCAUCCCUUCACGGUGUCCCCGCUGUCCCCGCUGUCCCCUGCUCCCUCCGU